Molecule: ribosomal RNA, 324 nt
Filed under: uncultured bacterium
Lineage: Bacteria
Description: bacterial SSU rRNA
Rfam family: Bacterial small subunit ribosomal RNA
Source: RNAcentral
GAUGAACGCUGGCGGCGUGCCUAACACAUGCAAGUCGAACGAAGCACUUUUCCCGAAUUUUUCGGAAGGAGGGGACUGUGACUGAGUGGCGGACGGGUGAGUAACGCGUGGGGAACCUGCCCCGUACCGGGGGAUAACAGCCGGAAACGGCUGCUAAUACCGCAUAAGCGCACAGUGCCGCAUGGCACAGUGUGAAAAACCACGGUGGUACGGGAUGGACCCGCGUCUGAUUAGUUAGUUGGCAGGGUAACGGCCUACCAAGACAGCGAUCAGUAGCCGGCCUGAGAGGGUGGACGGCCACACUGGGACUGAGACACGGCCCAG